This 421-nucleotide unclassified non-coding RNA is filed under the name soil metagenome. Its description in RNAcentral is "partial contains 5.8S ribosomal RNA, internal transcribed spacer 2, and large subunit ribosomal RNA". The stretch from base 1 to 120 matches the Rfam family "5.8S ribosomal RNA", at positions 35 to 154 of the family's 154-position model. The record is from RNAcentral.
GAUGAAGAACGCAGCGAAAUGCGAUACGUAAUGUGAAUUGUAGAAUUCAGUGAAUCAUCGAAUCUUUGUACGCAUAUUGCGCUCUUUGGUAUUCCGAAGAGCAUGCUUGUUUGAGUAUCAGUAAACACCUCAACCUCUUCUUGAUUUUUCAAAAGGAGGGUGGACUUGAGCUAUCCCAACAACCUUUACCGGUCGGCGGGCGGCUUGAAAUGCAGGUGCAGCUGGACUUUUAUCUGAGCUAAAAGCAUAUCUAUUUAGUCCUCGUCAAACAGGAUUAUUACUUUUGCUGCAGCUAACAUAAAGGAUAAUUGUCCUCUUUGCUGACUGAUGCAGGAUUUUACGACACUUUAUGUGUUGUUCAACUCGAUCUCAAAUCAAGUAAGACUACCCGCUGAACUUAAGCAUAUCAAUAAGCGGAGGA